RNAcentral lists this ribosomal RNA (468 nucleotides) under uncultured bacterium. RNAcentral describes it as "partial 16S ribosomal RNA". It matches the Rfam family "Bacterial small subunit ribosomal RNA", at positions 28 to 507 of the family's 1533-position model. The record is from RNAcentral.
GACGAACGCUGGCGGCGUGCUUAACACAUGCAAGUCGAACGGAAAGGCCCUGCUUUUGUGGGGUGCUCGAGUGGCGAAAGGGUGAGUAACACGUGAGUAACCUGCCCUUGACUUUGGGAUAACUUCAGGAAACUGGGGCUAAUACCGGAUAGGAGCUCCUGCUGCAUGGGGGGGGUUGGAAAGUUUCGGCGGGUGGGGAUGGACUCGCGGCUUAUCAGCUUGUUGGUGGGGUAGUGGCUUACCAAGGCUUUGACGGGUAGCCGGCCUGAGAGGGUGACCGGCCACAUUGGGACUGAGAUACGGCCCAGACUCCUACGGGAGGCAGCAGUGGGGAAUAUUGCACAAUGGGCGGAAGCCUGAUGCAGCAACGCCGCGUGCGGGAUGACGGCCUUCGGGUUGUAAACCGCUUUCGCCUGUGACGAAGCGUGAGUGACGGUAAUGGGUAAAGAAGCACCGGCUAACUACGUG